Molecule: unclassified non-coding RNA, 98 nt
Organism: Cavia aperea (Brazilian guinea pig)
Lineage: Eukaryota; Metazoa; Chordata; Mammalia; Rodentia; Caviidae
Rfam family: Y RNA
About the family: Y RNAs are components of the Ro ribonucleoprotein particle (Ro RNP), in association with Ro60 and La proteins.
Source: Ensembl
GGCUGGUCCGAUGGCAGUGGGUUAUCAGAACUUAUUAACAUUAGUUUCACUAAAGUUGGUAUACCACCCCCCCCACUGCUAAAUUUGACUGGCUUAAA